This 73-nucleotide transfer RNA is filed under the name Ovis aries (sheep). It matches the Rfam family "tRNA". From Rfam's summary of the family: Transfer RNA (tRNA) molecules are approximately 80 nucleotides in length. Their secondary structure includes four short double-helical elements and three loops (D, anti-codon, and T loops). Further hydrogen bonds mediate the characteristic L-shaped molecular structure. tRNAs have two regions of fundamental functional importance: the anti-codon, which is responsible for specific mRNA codon recognition, and the 3' end, to which the tRNAs corresponding amino acid is attached (by aminoacyl-tRNA synthetases). tRNAs cope with the degeneracy of the genetic code in two manners: having more than one tRNA (with a specific anti-codon) for a particular amino acid; and 'wobble' base-pairing, i.e. permitting non-standard base-pairing at the 3rd anti-codon position. The record is from Rfam by way of RNAcentral. Lineage: Eukaryota; Metazoa; Chordata; Mammalia; Artiodactyla; Bovidae.
UUCUUGACAGUCCAGUGGCUAGGAUUUUGUGCUUCCAAUGCAGAGGCCACAGGUUUGAUCCCUGGUCAGGGAA